This 72-nucleotide transfer RNA is filed under the name Camelus ferus (Wild Bactrian camel). It matches the Rfam family "tRNA". Rfam says of the family: Transfer RNA (tRNA) molecules are approximately 80 nucleotides in length. Their secondary structure includes four short double-helical elements and three loops (D, anti-codon, and T loops). Lineage: Eukaryota; Metazoa; Chordata; Mammalia; Artiodactyla; Camelidae. The record is from Rfam by way of RNAcentral.
GAGGGUAUAGCUCAGUGACAGAACAUAUGUUUAGCAUGCAUGAGGUUCUGGGUUCAACCUCCUGUACCCCCA